UUAAAUAUGAUGAUAAGUUUAUUCUGAAGAAGAAUUGUUGAUUUCAACUUAAAAUUAUAACCAAAAGGAUUCUGAUAGUAA
Scaptodrosophila lebanonensis is the source of this 81-nucleotide small nucleolar RNA. RefSeq annotates it as small nucleolar RNA Me28S-Cm3227. The transcript has a single exon. The record is from RefSeq and is a predicted model, not a curated record. Lineage: Eukaryota; Metazoa; Arthropoda; Insecta; Diptera; Drosophilidae.